RNAcentral lists this long non-coding RNA (731 nucleotides) under Medicago truncatula (barrel medic). RNAcentral's name for it is "lncRNA gene22884". The record is from RNAcentral. Lineage: Eukaryota; Viridiplantae; Streptophyta; Magnoliopsida; Fabales; Fabaceae.
GACGAUCGGUUCUUGGAAUAAUGGGUUCUCUUGCCAACAUAACAAACCGUGUCACGUUAUUUGGAUCAUCUUGUAUUCCAUCAGCUAAGAUAUUUAAUCCGUAAAGCUCUGCAGCGCGUGCGCUGGCGAUAGCAGCAGUGUCGCGGAGGUUAUUUGCAGUAAUAAACUCCGCGGCACCAGCUGUAUCGUCAACGGCCUCACGCGCUACGUUGAGGCCGAGCUUUGUUAACGUGUUUUCGCAUUGAGCUAAUGCUUGUGGAUGCGAAAUCACGCGUGUUAAAUAUUCUUUUCGGACUCCUGGAAGUGCGAGGAGGCAGUGGUGGACGGGGAGCUGAACUUCUCCGACGAUAUGGAGGCGGUGACGGAGGAGGAGGUCGUAGUUUCGGUGGAUAGAUCCUCCAAGGGAGUUUUCAACCGGUAGGACUGCACGAUCAGCAAUCCAGAGUUCUACCGAUUGAAAAGCUACCUCGAAUUGAUCACACGGCAUGGCUUCGCUGUUCGGAUAAGCUUUUCCGGCAGCGGCUUCGGAGUAUGCACCGGGAACUCCUUGGUACGCGACACGGAGAGUUGAGCCGUGCAUCGGUGCCGGAGAUAGGUCGGUGAUGCUAAGUGGCUUUGGUUGAAGUGAUUUAUUGUUUCCGAUUGGGACGAGCUGAAGAUCAGUUACGGCGUUGUUGUGGCCGUUGACGGCGGAGACAUGGUCGUUUCCGGUGACCGGUGAUUCAUCUCGC